UUAAGCGACUAAGCGUACACGGUGGAUGCCCUGGCAGUCAGAGGCGAUGAAGGACGUGCUAAUCUGCGAUAAGCGUCGGUAAGGUGAUAUGAACCGUUAUAACCGGCGAUUUCCGAAUGGGGAAACCCAGUGUGUUUCGACACACUAUCAUUAACUGAAUCCAUAGGUUAAUGAGGCGAACCGGGGGAACUGAAACAUCUAAGUACCCCGAGGAAAAGAAAUCAACCGAGAUUCCCCCAGUAGCGGCGAGCGAACGGGGAGCAGCCCAGAGCCUGAAUCAGUGUGUGUGUUAGUGGAAGCGUCUGGAAAGGCGCGCGAUACAGGGUGACAGCCCCGUACACAAAAAUGCACAUGCUGUGAGCUCGAUGAGUAGGGCGGGACACGUGGUAUCCUGUCUGAAUAUGGGGGGACCAUCCUCCAAGGCUAAAUACUCCUGACUGACCGAUAGUGAACCAGUACCGUGAGGGAAAGGCGAAAAGAACCCCGGCGAGGGGAGUGAAAAAGAACCUGAAACCGUGUACGUACAAGCAGUGGGAGCACGCUUAGGCGUGUGACUGCGUACCUUUUGUAUAAUGGGUCAGCGACUUAUAUUCUGUAGCAAGGUUAACCGAAUAGGGGAGCCGAAGGGAAACCGAGUCUUAACUGGGCGUUAAGUUGCAGGGUAUAGACCCGAAACCCGGUGAUCUAGCCAUGGGCAGGUUGAAGGUUGGGUAACACUAACUGGAGGACCGAACCGACUAAUGUUGAAAAAUUAGCGGAUGACUUGUGGCUGGGGGUGAAAGGCCAAUCAAACCGGGAGAUAGCUGGUUCUCCCCGAAAGCUAUUUAGGUAGCGCCUCGUGAAUUCAUCUCCGGGGGUAGAGCACUGUUUCGGCAAGGGGGUCAUCCCGACUUACCAACCCGAUGCAAACUGCGAAUACCGGAGAAUGUUAUCACGGGAGACACACGGCGGGUGCUAACGUCCGUCGUGAAGAGGGAAACAACCCAGACCGCCAGCUAAGGUCCCAAAGUCAUGGUUAAGUGGGAAACGAUGUGGGAAGGCCCAGACAGCCAGGAUGUUGGCUUAGAAGCAGCCAUCAUUUAAAGAAAGCGUAAUAGCUCACUGGUCGAGUCGGCCUGCGCGGAAGAUGUAACGGGGCUAAACCAUGCACCGAAGCUGCGGCAGCGACGCUGAUGCGUUGUUGGGUAGGGGAGCGUUCUGUAAGCCUGCGAAGGUGUGCUGUGAGGCAUGCUGGAGGUAUCAGAAGUGCGAAUGCUGACAUAAGUAACGAUAAAGCGGGUGAAAAGCCCGCUCGCCGGAAGACCAAGGGUUCCUGUCCAACGUUAAUCGGGGCAGGGUGAGUCGACCCCUAAGGCGAGGCCGAAAGGCGUAGUCGAUGGGAAACAGGUUAAUAUUCCUGUACUUGGUGUUACUGCGAAGGGGGGACGGAGAAGGCUAUGUUGGCCGGGCGACGGUUGUCCCGGUUUAAGCGUGUAGGCUGGUUUUCCAGGCAAAUCCGGAAAAUCAAGGCUGAGGCGUGAUGACGAGGCACUACGGUGCUGAAGCAACAAAUGCCCUGCUUCCAGGAAAAGCCUCUAAGCAUCAGGUAACAUCAAAUCGUACCCCAAACCGACACAGGUGGUCAGGUAGAGAAUACCAAGGCGCUUGAGAGAACUCGGGUGAAGGAACUAGGCAAAAUGGUGCCGUAACUUCGGGAGAAGGCACGCUGAUAUGUAGGUGAAGCGACUUGCUCGUGGAGCUGAAAUCAGUCGAAGAUACCAGCUGGCUGCAACUGUUUAUUAAAAACACAGCACUGUGCAAACACGAAAGUGGACGUAUACGGUGUGACGCCUGCCCGGUGCCGGAAGGUUAAUUGAUGGGGUUAGCGCAAGCGAAGCUCUUGAUCGAAGCCCCGGUAAACGGCGGCCGUAACUAUAACGGUCCUAAGGUAGCGAAAUUCCUUGUCGGGUAAGUUCCGACCUGCACGAAUGGCGUAAUGAUGGCCAGGCUGUCUCCACCCGAGACUCAGUGAAAUUGAACUCGCUGUGAAGAUGCAGUGUACCCGCGGCAAGACGGAAAGACCCCGUGAACCUUUACUAUAGCUUGACACUGAACAUUGAGCCUUGAUGUGUAGGAUAGGUGGGAGGCUUUGAAGUGUGGACGCCAGUCUGCAUGGAGCCGACCUUGAAAUACCACCCUUUAAUGUUUGAUGUUCUAACGUUGACCCGUGAUCCGGGUUGCGGACAGUGUCUGGUGGGUAGUUUGACUGGGGCGGUCUCCUCCUAAAGAGUAACGGAGGAGCACGAAGGUUGGCUAAUCCUGGUCGGACAUCAGGAGGUUAGUGCAAUGGCAUAAGCCAGCUUGACUGCGAGCGUGACGGCGCGAGCAGGUGCGAAAGCAGGUCAUAGUGAUCCGGUGGUUCUGAAUGGAAGGGCCAUCGCUCAACGGAUAAAAGGUACUCCGGGGAUAACAGGCUGAUACCGCCCAAGAGUUCAUAUCGACGGCGGUGUUUGGCACCUCGAUGUCGGCUCAUCACAUCCUGGGGCUGAAGUAGGUCCCAAGGGUAUGGCUGUUCGCCAUUUAAAGUGGUACGCGAGCUGGGUUUAGAACGUCGUGAGACAGUUCGGUCCCUAUCUGCCGUGGGCGCUGGAGAACUGAGGGGGGCUGCUCCUAGUACGAGAGGACCGGAGUGGACGCAUCACUGGUGUUCGGGUUGUCAUGCCAAUGGCACUGCCCGGUAGCUAAAUGCGGAAGAGAUAAGUGCUGAAAGCAUCUAAGCACGAAACUUGCCCCGAGAUGAGUUCUCCCUGACUCCUUGAGAGUCCUGAAGGAACGUUGAAGACGACGACGUUGAUAGGCCGGGUGUGUAAGCGCAGCGAUGCGUUGAGCUAACCGGUACUAAUGAACCGUGAGGCUUAACCUU
This 2902-nucleotide ribosomal RNA is filed under the name Escherichia coli. RNAcentral describes it as "bacterial LSU rRNA". It matches the Rfam family "Bacterial large subunit ribosomal RNA". Lineage: Bacteria; Pseudomonadati; Pseudomonadota; Gammaproteobacteria; Enterobacterales; Enterobacteriaceae. The record is from RNAcentral.